GACGAACGCUGGCGGCGUGCUUAACACAUGCAAGUCGAACGGAAAGGCCCUGCUUUUGUGGGGUGCUCGAGUGGCGAACGGGUGAGUAACACGUGAGUAACCUGCCCUUUACUUUGGGAUAACUUCAGGAAACUGGGGCUAAUACCGGAUAUGAGCUCCUGCUGCAUGGUGGGGGUUGGAAAGUUUCGGCGGUUGGGGAUGGUCUCGCGGCUUAUCCGCUUGUUGGUGGGGUAGUGGCUUACCAAGGCUUGGACGGGUAGCCGGCCUGAGAGGGUGACCGGCCACAUUGGGACUGAGAUACGGCCCAGACGCCUACGGGAGGCAGCAGUGGGGAAUAGUGCGCAAUGGGCGGAAGCCUGAUGCAGCAACGCCGCGUGCGAGAUGACGGCCUUCGGGUUGUAAACCGCUUUCGCCUGUGACGAAGCGUGAGUGACGGUAAUGGGUAAAGAAGCACCGGCUAACUACGUG
RNAcentral lists this ribosomal RNA (468 nucleotides) under uncultured bacterium. RNAcentral's name for it is "partial 16S ribosomal RNA". It matches the Rfam family "Bacterial small subunit ribosomal RNA", at positions 28 to 507 of the family's 1533-position model. The record is from RNAcentral.